CCUUGUGUCAUCAGCUUUAUAAUUUAAUGUUUUAUUUAAAUUAACUUAUUUUUUAAAGUUAAGUGAUUAUGACCUAAGCAAUAGAAUCUGAAACUCUGGGUGAUAGUUAUGCAUAUAUUUUUUCAAUACAUAUGGACGUAAAUCAAUGACUAUUGAAAUAGAAAAAUUUUUUUCUGGAUACCCUUUAAAAUCACCUCCCUUUGAGAAAUUCUGAACUACCUGGUUGGGGAAACUGAGGCUCUGUGAUGGGAUGUGAUGUCCCUAAGCGUCUCAGAGUCCGUGGUCCAGCUGACCGUGGUCCAGGCCAUCUGCCUGCCCCCUGAAUACCUGCAUUGUUGCCUCCUGGCUUCAGGGUUGCACCUGGCAAGAGAAGACACAAGGCCACCCCAGAGCCAUGUGCCCUGCCCGGGAAUCAGAGCCCAGAGAGAUGACCCCGGGAACUCUGCUGGCUGAGGGGCUGCUGUGUGCCAGGCCCUGGGGCAGAGCUGGGACAUCAGCUUCUUCCUGCCUUUGGACUCGAACUGAAACAUCAGCUCUCCCUGGACCCUGAGGCCGCUGGCCUUUGCAUGGAAAC
Molecule: long non-coding RNA, 574 nt
Filed under: Equus caballus (horse)
Lineage: Eukaryota; Metazoa; Chordata; Mammalia; Perissodactyla; Equidae
Description: lncRNA (ENSECAG00000057586.1)
Source: RNAcentral